Non-coding RNA from Paramuricea clavata, 291 nucleotides. The record is from the annotation of a GenBank genome assembly. NCBI's taxonomy places the organism in Eukaryota, Metazoa, Cnidaria, Anthozoa, Malacalcyonacea, Plexauridae.
GUUUAAUGUUCUGUUUAUUAUAUGGACUUACUCAGAGUGACAAAAAUACACACAAAGACGACAUGUAAAUAAGCACGCGAAAGACCAGUAUAAAAGCGAUAUUUUUUAAAUUAUACUGCAAACAUAAAACUAGAAUAAAUUUUACUUAUCUCAAGAUGUCUUUUAAAUGUUUUCGUUUUAUUUCCAACGUUAAUUUCGUUUCAAAUACGAACCAAAGACCAUUUGUAUUUUCAAAACAACAACAGUGAAAAUGGCGGGAAAUUUUCAAAACUUCGUAUGGCACUAGCAGGG